Molecule: long non-coding RNA, 2268 nt
Organism: Pezoporus occidentalis (night parrot)
Lineage: Eukaryota; Metazoa; Chordata; Aves; Psittaciformes; Psittacidae
Exons: 2
Source: RefSeq, a predicted model, not a curated record
CUCUGCCGCCGUCUUGCGACUCGGCGGCGUAAGGAGUGAGGGCAGCAGCCCAGGGGCUGCAGCUGAUUGUGGGGCUGAUACCGAAUUAAACACGCAUUUCUGCGUGUACAGAAACAUGGUCAUGGGCAAGGCGACAGUGAUUCACAAGAUGAGGAAGAUCCAAAGGAACAUAGCUGCCUACAUAAAACUCCAAAAUGAUGAAUAUCCAAGCCCCUGCCCAAAUGCCCCUUGGCUGCAAAGACAUUCAAGGGCAUUUCCAAAUAAAAAGACCUGACUUGUGGAAAACAGUGGUGGAAAACCCACGGUGAGUGAGGAAGGGAAGCCACUUGCUAUUUGGAUCUAGUUGUUAUCCAGGUGCAUUAUCCUAUGGUUGUGUUAUGAAAACCUACCAAGAAUCAGGCUGAACUCCAGAUUGGGCUGGAACGCCACAACCAAACUGCAUCUGUAUGUAAGCUGCCAGAGCCUCUCAGUGCUGUGCUGCUCUGGGCUAAACAUACUUUGACAGCAUGCUUUCCUUUGCAAUCAUAUUUUAACUUGCACAAAUCCCCCAGGGUAAUUAACAAUUUGCUGCUGGGCAAGCAGGCAGCCCUUCAAAUCCUGACAUGUACAAGCAGGGUUAGCAUCUGAGCCCCAGUCAUGUACUGCAUUGCUGGUGGAGAAAAAGGGUCCUCAGAAGACCUCAGUCCCACCAGGGCCUGCGCAGUUGACCAUUGUUGAAAUGUUACAGCACAAACCUGGGGUGUAAAAGAUGUGUUUGACAGAAGCUUUGAACCUCUGUUUCCCAUCUACUAGCAGAGUGCUCAAAUCACUGAACUUACAGGGUCUUGCAAGGUAAAUUUUUGCCUCCGUUGUUCUUGACAUGGCCGGGGUGAGCACAGCCCUGAUCUUGGUGAGGGAAAGGAAUCUGUAGCACUGCUAGAGGACUAACAGCCUGUGCCCCAGAGUAAGAGUUUGCCUCAGGCGGAGUUAGUGGGAGGAGGCUGCAACUCUGACAGGGCUGUUUCUGCCCCCUCCUUCAGCAGAUUUGUUCUUAUAAGCUGUUCUGCUUUAUGAAAUACUUAAAUAUGAAACUGGAAUGAGGUCUGGGACUCGAGUCUUCCCGGAGAGCAGCACCACCACAAGGCCGUAAGGUCAUUUCUACUCUUAGGCACAACAAAUAUUCAUUCAGACUGAGACAGCUUCAAAACAAAUGUCUGACAUGAAUCUCAUCAUAGCCUACAGCCCAACAGGGAGGGCUCAGCUCACAAUUAAAUAUGUGCCCUGAUUUAAACCCAGGUCUUCUGUAUCCUUUGCUCAGCAGCACACAGGACACGUGAAGAUGACACUAACUCCUCCUCAAUUAUUCUGAGUGAAAGGAUUGGCCUUUGUCCUGCAGUCUAACUGUGAAGAAAGUGCAUGGAUGAGUACUAAAAGGAAGACAACAUGUUAAACCAGUCUUGCUUUCAGUGUCUGAUUCCUCAGGUAGGUUAGGACUUGACUCCUGCUUGUUUCCCCAACACCUUGCAGCAGGUAGGGCAGGUCCCACCCAAUGUGCAGUAGCUAGCUCAGUGCUCACUGUCAACUUACAAACAUGUCUCAUGUCCAGCAUAGCAGAGAUCACCAGACACUGAUCUUGUAGCCAGCAGUCCCAGCAGGCAGGCAUCCCUAUGAACUUGUGCUGUGUUGCUGAGAAACAUUAUCCUGAGGUUUGGCUUUGGUCUGCUACCAAAGCCAAACCUUUCUAAUACCUGUGUGCUCUCAAUGGAGAUACUCAUCACAUAGAAUCAUAAAAUAGUUGAGUUGGAAGGGACCUUCAAAGGUCACCUAGUCCAACCCCCCCUGUAAUGAGCAGGGACAUCUUCAACUAGAUCAGGUUGCCCAGAACCACAUCCAGCCUGGCCUUGAAUGUCUGCAGGGGUGAUGCAUCCACCACCUCUCUGGGCAACCCAUGCCUGUGUUUUACCACCCUCACUGUGCAAAAUGUCUUCCUCAUGUCUAACCUGAAUAGAAAAUCAUAGAGUAGUUUGGGUUGGAAAGGACCUUCAAAGGUCAUCUAGUCCAACCCAACAUGGUGCAAGCAAGAUGUAUUUGUGGGACUUGCUCAGGGUUGUUCUUUUUAUAUUGCCAUAACAAGAAUAUUUGUCAAACAUUUUAUGCAUGUUAGUUUUGAGGUAGCAUUUCGAUUGGACCAGAUUCAUUAGGAGUAAAAACUGCCAUGGAUGGCUCCACUGAGGUCAGCAGAGGGAAACUGACUUCUAUCAGUACAGAUCAGAGCUAAAAAGCAAGGGG